This is a long non-coding RNA of Plutella xylostella (diamondback moth), 640 nucleotides long. RefSeq lists it as uncharacterized. Lineage: Eukaryota; Metazoa; Arthropoda; Insecta; Lepidoptera; Plutellidae. The record is from RefSeq and is a predicted model, not a curated record.
GCCACGGCAGCGCUGAUUUUGAAAUAACCUAAAAUUACCAUAACACAAACUAACACUGGAAUCGAAUCACGGAACAAUGUAACCAAAUAUUGUCGAUCAAUAUAUGAAUAAUGCAGUGAAACUAUUUGAAGAAAGAAACGCACCUUCUUACCAUGCAUCAAUUUCAAAUUUAAAUCCAUGAACGAGACAUAAUUAUGUAUCUAUUACAAUUAACUAACUUUACGGAUACAAUCAAGGCAUAUGUAUGUGUUAUAUACAUUUCCUAAUGUACCUAUUUAGCAUGUGGCUAUGAAUCACCCAAUCAGAGAUUACCUGCCGUACGUGGGCCACGCGAUGAUGGGAGCGGGGUACCUUCUGGAACACCUGAACACCUUCCGACCACCCCUGCCCAGCGGCGUCGUCCUGAUUGGUCACGUCUUCGUACUGUCUGACCCCCAGGCCCUAUCACCACAACGGCCUAGGCUCAGGGUUGUCAAUAGUAUUUUCUUUCUGAGCAACCUAUUUGUGUUUGUUUACGAUAUUGUGGUAGCCCUGGGAGGGAAUGAUCCAGGGCCUAGCAUGGUUGAAGCGCCGCGAGUUACCUAAUAUUUUGUUGACGAAAUUAGCAUGUUGUCUGAAAAUAAUAAAACGUUGAAAUAUA